Molecule: non-coding RNA, 27 nt
Filed under: Mus musculus (house mouse)
Lineage: Eukaryota; Metazoa; Chordata; Mammalia; Rodentia; Muridae
Source: RNAcentral
CCAGUGUGUAAGUAUAGGGGCCCUACA